Cephalotrichum gorgonifer is the source of this 92-nucleotide non-coding RNA. NCBI's taxonomy places the organism in Eukaryota, Fungi, Ascomycota, Sordariomycetes, Microascales, Microascaceae. The record is from the annotation of a GenBank genome assembly.
GGCAAUGUGCCAGAGUGGUUAAUGGGUCAGCCUCGAAUUAUCGAGCUGAGCUGAUGUCUUCGGACGCACAGGUUCGAAUCCUGUCAUUGUCG